GAUGAACGCUGGCGGCGUGCCUAAUACAUGCAAGUCGAGCGAACAGACGAGGAGCUUGCUCCUCCGACGUUAGCGGCGGACGGGUGAGUAACACGUGGAUAACCUACCUAUAAGACUGGGAUAACUUCGGGAAACCGGAGCUAAUACCGGAUAAUAUAUUGAACCGCAUGGUUCAAUAGUGAAAGACGGUUUUGCUGUCACUUAUAGAUGGAUCCGCGCCGCAUUAGCUAGUUGGUAAGGUAACGGCUUACCAAGGCGACGAUGCGUAGCCGACCUGAGAGGGUGAUCGGCCACAAUGGAACUGAGACACGGUCCAGACUCCUACGGGAGGCAGCAGUAGGGAAUCGUCCGCAAUGGGCGAAAGCCUGACGGAGCAACGCCGCGUGAGUGAUGAAGGUCUUCGGAUCGUAAAACUCUGUUAUUAGGGAAGAACAAAUGUGUAAGUAACUAUGCACGUCUUGACGGUACCUAAUCAGAAAGCCACGGCUAACUACGUG
RNAcentral lists this ribosomal RNA (497 nucleotides) under uncultured bacterium. RNAcentral describes it as "partial 16S ribosomal RNA". It matches the Rfam family "Bacterial small subunit ribosomal RNA", at positions 28 to 507 of the family's 1533-position model. The record is from RNAcentral.